Molecule: ribosomal RNA, 932 nt
Filed under: Buchnera aphidicola (Prociphilus erigeronensis)
Lineage: Bacteria; Pseudomonadati; Pseudomonadota; Gammaproteobacteria; Enterobacterales; Erwiniaceae
Description: bacterial SSU rRNA
Rfam family: Bacterial small subunit ribosomal RNA
Source: RNAcentral
UGCACAAUGGGCGAAAGCCUGAUGCAGCUAUACCGCGUGUAUGAAGAAGGCCUUAGGGUUGUAAAGUACUUUCGUUGGGGAGGAAAAAUAAAUAGAUAAUACCUGUUUAUCGUGACGUUACCCAAAAAAGAAGCACCGGCUAACUCCGUGCCAGCAGCCGCGGUAAUACGGAGGGUGCAAGCGUUAAUCAGAAUUACUGGGCGUAAAGAGCUCGUAGGCGGUUUUUUAAGUCAGAUGUGAAAUCCCUGGGCUUAACCUAGGAACUGUAUUUGAAACUAAAAGACUAGAGUAUCGUAGAGGGAGGUAGAAUUCUAGGUGUAGCGGUGAAAUGCGUAGAUAUCUGGAGGAAUACCUGUGGCGAAAGCGGCCUCCUAAAUGAAUACUGACGCUGAGGUGCGAAAGCAUGGGGAGCAAACAGGAUUAGAUACCCUGGUAGUCCAUGCCGUAAACGAUGUCGACUUGGAGGUUGUUUCCUUGAGAAGUGACUUCCGAAGCUAACGCGUUAAGUCGACCGCCUGGGGAGUACGGUCGCAAGGCUAAAACUCAAAUGAAUUGACGGGGGCCCGCACAAGCGGUGGAGCAUGUGGUUUAAUUCGAUGCAACGCGAAAAACCUUACCUGGUCUUGACAUCCACAGAAUUUUUCAGAGAUGAAAAAGUGCCUUAGGGAACUGUGAGACAGGUGCUGCAUGGCUGUCGUCAGCUCGUGUUGUGAAAUGUUGGGUUAAGUCCCGCAACGAGCGCAACCCUUAUCCUCUGUUGCCAUUGGUUCGGCCAGGAACUCAGAGGAGACUGCCGGUUAUAAACCGGAGGAAGGCGGGGACGACGUCAAGUCAUCAUGGCCCUUACGACCAGGGCUACACACGUGCUACAAUGGUGUAUACAAAGAGAAGCAACUCUGCAAAGACAAGCAAACCUCAUAAAGUACAUCGUA